CGAGUAACGCUGUCUUUUGGUUUCUGAACUAUGUAUAUGAAUCUCAGUUGGUUUAGCUUUUGUUUAUUGAACAGCUCUAUGCUACUGUUUGUAGUAUUGCAUAUCUACUUGUACUUUUGACGCUUCGUAUACAGGAAAAAUUUCUUGUAUACGGCGGAUUUGUCGGCGUGCCCGGGGAACGAGACAUCCGGGUAUAAGUUGGUAUCAGAGCUUUGCUAUAGGUCGUUGGGACCUAGGAAACCUAAGUUUGGCAAACCUUAGGGAAGCAAGACGCGAGAGGCGUAAUUAAAUUGCGGAAGUCAAUGAUUGUUUGUUCUAACUCCUCCUAGAGUGGAGUGAGUGACUGAAGGAGUUUCUGUUUUGGCCUGAGAAAUUAUGUUGGCUGCAGACGACAUAAUUUUGGAGGAAAACAGGGACCGCCUUUCAGACUUUCGUUGAUU
This 440-nucleotide long non-coding RNA is filed under the name Ananas comosus (pineapple). RNAcentral's name for it is "long non-coding RNA (ACOM_LNC001716)". Lineage: Eukaryota; Viridiplantae; Streptophyta; Magnoliopsida; Poales; Bromeliaceae. The record is from RNAcentral.